Molecule: ribosomal RNA, 399 nt
Filed under: uncultured bacterium
Lineage: Bacteria
Description: bacterial SSU rRNA
Rfam family: Bacterial small subunit ribosomal RNA
Source: RNAcentral
GGGGAAUAUUGGACAAUGGGCGAAAGCCUGAUCCAGCCAUGCCGCGUGAGUGAUAAGGCCUUCGGGUUGUAAAACUCUUUCGUCGGUGAAGAUAAUGACGGUAACCGAAAAAGAAGCCCCGGCUAACUUCGUGCCAGCAGCCGCGGUAAUACGAAGGGGGCUAGCGUUGUUCGGAAUCACUGGGCGUACAGCGCGCGUAGGCGGACUGACAAGUCAGAGGUGAAAGCCCAAGGCUCAACCUUGGAACUGCCUUUGAAACUGUCAGUCUGGAGUCUCGGAGGGGAUGGCGGAAUUCCUAGUGUAGGGGUGAAGUCCGUAGAUACUAGGAGGAACACCGGUGGCGAAGGCGGCCAUCUGGACGAGUACUGACGCUGAGGCGCGAAAGCGUGGGGCGCAAAC